Saimiri boliviensis boliviensis (Bolivian squirrel monkey) is the source of this 130-nucleotide ribosomal RNA. The record is from Ensembl. NCBI's taxonomy places the organism in Eukaryota, Metazoa, Chordata, Mammalia, Primates, Cebidae.
UGCUAUGACCAUACCACCGUGAAUUCACCUGAUCUCUUCUGAUCUCAGACGCUGAGCAGGGUUGCGCCUGGCUAGUACUCGGAUGAGAGAAAUACACAUACAGAUACGGAUAAAGACACAGAUACAGAAA